GUGCCGCUGCAGCUGGUAAAACGGAACCAAAUCGUUCGCAGAUGGGAUUUGGUCCCCUUCAACCAGCUGCAGAGGCCA
This 78-nucleotide microRNA precursor is filed under the name Petromyzon marinus (sea lamprey). RNAcentral describes it as "miRNA (ENSPMAG00000011660.1)". It matches the Rfam family "mir-133 microRNA precursor family". Rfam says of the family: mir-133 was first experimentally characterised in mouse and homologues have since been discovered in several other species. The mature sequence is excised from the 3' arm of the hairpin. The record is from RNAcentral. Lineage: Eukaryota; Metazoa; Chordata; Hyperoartia; Petromyzontiformes; Petromyzontidae.